AGAGGUGGCAAGCGUUGUUCGGAUUUAUUGGGUGUAAAGGGCAGGUAGGCGGUCGGAUAAGUCUGACGUGAAAUCCCAUGGCUCAACCGUGGAACUGCGUUGGAAACUGUCUGACUUGAGUACCGGAGAGGUGAGGGGAAUUCUCGGUGUAAGGGUGAAAUCUGUAGAUAUCGAGAGGAACACCAGUGGCGAAGGCGACUCGCUGGACUGAUACUGACGCUGAGGUGCGAAAGCGUGGGAAGCAAACAGGAUUAGAUACCCUGGUAGUCCACGCCUUAAACGAUGAGAGCUAGUUGUCGGGGAAGCAAUUCUUAGGUAACGAAGCUAACGCGUGAAGUUGACCGCCUGGGGAGUACGGUCGCAAGAUUA
RNAcentral lists this ribosomal RNA (369 nucleotides) under uncultured bacterium. Its description in RNAcentral is "bacterial SSU rRNA". It matches the Rfam family "Bacterial small subunit ribosomal RNA", at positions 527 to 896 of the family's 1533-position model. The record is from RNAcentral.